Datura stramonium (jimsonweed) is the source of this 76-nucleotide non-coding RNA. The record is from the annotation of a GenBank genome assembly. Lineage: Eukaryota; Viridiplantae; Streptophyta; Magnoliopsida; Solanales; Solanaceae.
GCGUAUUCUGAUUCACUUUUGGUAGAACGUGGGUCUCCAAAACCCGAUGUCGUAGGUUCAAAUCCUACAAAGCGUG